This 450-nucleotide ribosomal RNA is filed under the name uncultured bacterium. Its description in RNAcentral is "bacterial SSU rRNA". It matches the Rfam family "Bacterial small subunit ribosomal RNA", at positions 354 to 796 of the family's 1533-position model. The record is from RNAcentral.
GUGGGGAAUAUUGCGCAAUGGGGGAAACCCUGACGCAGCAACGCCGCGUGAGUGAUGAAGGCCUUCGGGUCGUAAAGCUCUGUCGCAGGGGACGAAAGCGUUUAUCCAAAUAGGGUGAACGUAUGACGGUACUCUGCAAGAAAGCCCCGGCCAACUCCGUGCCAGCAGCCGCGGUAAGACGGAGGGGGCGAGCGUUGUUCGGAAUUACUGGGCGUAAAGGGCGCGCAGGCGGUCAUGCAAGUCGGUGGUGAAAGCCCACGGCUCAACCGUGGAAUUGCCUUCGAUACUACAUGACUUGAGUACGGAAGAGGAGAGCGGAAUUCCCAGUGUAGCGGUGAAAUGCGUAGAUAUUGGGAGGAACACCGGUGGCGAAGGCGGCUCUCUGGUCCGAUACUGACGCUGAGGCGCGAAAGCCAGGGGAGCGAACGGGAUUAGAAACCCUAGUAGUCC